UCUCCGUUGGUGAACCAGCGGAGGGAUCAUUACAGAGUCGCAAUACUCCGUAAACCAUUGUGAACGUUACCUAACCGUUGCUUCGGCGGGCGGCGCCCGGGCCCUCGCGGCCCGCGGCGCCCCCCGGCCCCUGCGGGCGCCCGCCGGAGGUAGACCAAACUCUUGAAUUACAUGGCCUCUCUGAGUCUUCUGUACUGAAUAAGUCAAAACUUUCAACAACGGAUCUCUUGGUUCUG
RNAcentral lists this unclassified non-coding RNA (236 nucleotides) under root metagenome. RNAcentral describes it as "partial contains small subunit ribosomal RNA, internal transcribed spacer 1, and 5.8S ribosomal RNA". The record is from RNAcentral.